This 483-nucleotide ribosomal RNA is filed under the name uncultured bacterium. RNAcentral describes it as "partial 16S ribosomal RNA". It matches the Rfam family "Bacterial small subunit ribosomal RNA", at positions 28 to 523 of the family's 1533-position model. The record is from RNAcentral.
GACGAACGCUGGCGGCGUGCUUAACACAUGCAAGUCGAACGAUGAAGCUGGAGCUUGCUCCGGUGGAUUAGUGGCGAACGGGUGAGUAACACGUGAGCAAUCUGCCCUUGACUCUGGGAUAACUGCGGGAAACUGUAGCUAAUACCGGAUAUGAGGCUCGAAGGCAUCUUCGGGUCUGGAAAGAAUUUCGGUCAAGGAUGAGCUCGCGGCCUAUCAGCUUGUUGGUGAGGUAAUGGCUCACCAAGGCGACGACGGGUAGCCGGCCUGAGAGGGUGACCGGCCACACCGGGACUGAGACACGGCCCAGACUCCUACGGGAGGCAGCAGUGGGGAAUAUUGCACAAUGGGCGAAAGCCUGAUGCAGCAACGCCGUGUGAGGGAUGAAGGCCUUCGGGUUGUAAACCUCUUUUAGCAGGGAAGAAGCGAAAGUGACGGUACCUGCAGAAAAAGCACCGGCUAACUACGUGCCAGCAGCCGCCGCAG